This 973-nucleotide ribosomal RNA is filed under the name Streptomyces sp. RNAcentral's name for it is "partial 16S ribosomal RNA". It matches the Rfam family "Bacterial small subunit ribosomal RNA", at positions 1 to 923 of the family's 1533-position model. Lineage: Bacteria; Bacillati; Actinomycetota; Actinomycetes; Kitasatosporales; Streptomycetaceae. The record is from RNAcentral.
GGUUUGGUUUCGACGGCGUGUCUGAGGCUCGCUGCAGACCUGAAGCUUGAUAUCGAAUUCGCGUGUCGCCCUUAGAGUUUGAUCCUGGCUCAGGACGAACGCUGGCGGCGUGCUUAACACAUGCAAGUCGAACGAUGAACCACUUCGGUGGGGAUUAGUGGCGAACGGGUGAGUAACACGUGGGCAAUCUGCCCUUCACUCUGGGACAAGCCCUGGAAACGGGGUCUAAUACCGGAUACCACUACCGCAGGCAUCUGUGGUGGUUGAAAGCUCCGGCGGUGAAGGAUGAGCCCGCGGCCUAUCAGCUUGUUGGUGAGGUAAUGGCUCACCAAGGCGACGACGGGUAGCCGGCCUGAGAGGGCGACCGGCCACACUGGGACUGAGACACGGCCCAGACUCCUACGGGAGGCAGCAGUGGGGAAUAUUGCACAAUGGGCGAAAGCCUGAUGCAGCGACGCCGCGUGAGGGAUGACGGCCUUCGGGUUGUAAACCUCUUUCAGCAGGGAAGAAGCGAAAGUGACGGUACCUGCAGAAGAAGCGCCGGCUAACUACGUGCCAGCAGCCGCGGUAAUACGUAGGGCGCAAGCGUUGUCCGGAAUUAUUGGGCGUAAAGAGCUCGUAGGCGGCUUGUCACGUCGGGUGUGAAAGCCCGGGGCUUAACCCCGGGUCUGCAUUCGAUACGGGCUAGCUAGAGUGUGGUAGGGGAGAUCGGAAUUCCUGGUGUAGCGGUGAAAUGCGCAGAUAUCAGGAGGAACACCGGUGGCGAAGGCGGAUCUCUGGGCCAUUACUGACGCUGAGGAGCGAAAGCGUGGGGAGCGAACAGGAUUAGAUACCCUGGUAGUCCACGCCGUAAACGGUGGGAACUAGGUGUUGGCGACAUUCCACGUCGUCGGUGCCGCAGCUAACGCAUUAAGUUCCCCGCCUGGGGAGUACGGCCGCAAGGCUAAAACUCAAAGGAAUUGACGGGGGCCCG